GAUGAACGCUGGCGGCGUGCCUAAUACAUGCAAGUCGAGCGAACGGACGAGAAGCUUGCUUCUCUGAUGUUAGCGGCGGACGGGUGAGUAACACGUGGAUAACCUACCUAUAAGACUGGGAUAACUUCGGGAAACCGGAGCUAAUACCGGAUAAUAUUUUGAACCGCAUGGGUCAAAAGUGAAAGACGGUCUUGCUGUCACUUAUAGAUGGAUCCGCGCUGCAUUAGCUAGUUGGUAAGGUAACGGCUUACCAAGGCAACGAUGCAUAGCCGACCUGAGAGGGUGAUCGGCCACACUGGAACUGAGACACGGUCCAGACUCCUACGGGAGGCAGCAGUAGGGAAUCUUCCGCAAUGGGCGAAAGCCUGACGGAGCAACGCCGCGUGAGUGAUGAAGGUCUUCGGAUCGUAAAACUCUGUUAUUAGGGAAGAACAUAUGUGUAAGUAACUGUGCACAUCUUGACGGUACCUAAUCAGAAAGCCACGGCUAACUACGUG
This 497-nucleotide ribosomal RNA is filed under the name uncultured bacterium. RNAcentral's name for it is "partial 16S ribosomal RNA". It matches the Rfam family "Bacterial small subunit ribosomal RNA", at positions 28 to 507 of the family's 1533-position model. The record is from RNAcentral.